RNAcentral lists this ribosomal RNA (253 nucleotides) under uncultured bacterium. RNAcentral's name for it is "partial 16S ribosomal RNA". It matches the Rfam family "Bacterial small subunit ribosomal RNA", at positions 524 to 776 of the family's 1533-position model. The record is from RNAcentral.
UACGUAGGGUGCGAGCGUUAAUCGGAAUUACUGGGCGUAAAGCGUGCGCAGGCGGCUUCGCAAGUCAGGCGUGAAAUCCCCGAGCUUAACUUGGGAAUUGCGCUCGAAACUACGUGGCUCGAGUGUGGCAGAGGAAGGUGGAAUUCCACGUGUAGCGGUGAAAUACGUAGAGAUGUGGAGGAACACCGAUGGCGAAGGCAGCCUUCUGGGCCAACACUGACGCUCAUGCACGAAAGCGUGGGGAGCAAACAGG